RNAcentral lists this ribosomal RNA (301 nucleotides) under uncultured bacterium. RNAcentral's name for it is "partial 16S ribosomal RNA". It matches the Rfam family "Bacterial small subunit ribosomal RNA", at positions 509 to 807 of the family's 1533-position model. The record is from RNAcentral.
CAGUAGCCACGGUAAUACGUAGGGAGCAAGCGUUGUUCGGAUUUACUGGGCGUAAUGGGCGCGUAGGCGGCGCGGUAAGUCACUUGUGAAAUCUCUGAGCUUAACUCAGAACGGCCAAGUGAUACUGCUGUGCUAGAGUGCGGAAGAGGCAACCGGAAUUCUUGGUGUAGCGGUGAAAUGCGUAGAUAUCAAGAGGAACACCUGAGGCGAAGGCGGGUUGCUGGGCCGACACUGACGCUGAUGCGCGAAAGCCAGGGGAGCAAACGGGAUUAGAUACCCCUGUAGUCCCUGUCUCUUAUAC